RNAcentral lists this unclassified non-coding RNA (345 nucleotides) under soil metagenome. RNAcentral describes it as "partial contains 5.8S ribosomal RNA, internal transcribed spacer 2, and large subunit ribosomal RNA". The stretch from base 1 to 120 matches the Rfam family "5.8S ribosomal RNA", at positions 35 to 154 of the family's 154-position model. The record is from RNAcentral.
GAUGAAGAACGUAGCGAAAUGCGAUACGUAAUGUGAAUUGCAGAAUUCAGUGAAUCAUCGAGUCUUUGAACGCACAUUGCGCCCCCUGGUAUUCCGGGGGGCAUGCCUGUCCGAGCGUCAUUGCUGCCCUCAAGCCCGGCUUGUGUGUUGGGUCUCGUCCCCCUUCCCGGGGGGACGGGCCCGAAAGGCAGCGGCGGCACCGCGUCCGGUCCUCGAGCGUAUGGGGCUUUGUCACCCGCUCUGUAGGCCCGGCCGGCGCUUGCCGAUCAACCAAAACUUUUUUCCAGGUUGACCUCGGAUCAGGUAGGGAUACCCGCUGAACUUAAGCAUAUCAUAAGCGGAGGA